RNAcentral lists this ribosomal RNA (253 nucleotides) under uncultured bacterium. RNAcentral's name for it is "partial 16S ribosomal RNA". It matches the Rfam family "Bacterial small subunit ribosomal RNA", at positions 524 to 776 of the family's 1533-position model. The record is from RNAcentral.
UACAGAGGGGGCAAGCGUUGUUCGGAAUUACUGGGCGUAAAGGGCGCGUAGGCGGCCGCCUAAGUCAGACGUGAAAUCCCUCGGCUCAACCGGGGAACUGCGUCUGAUACUGGGUGGCUUGAAUCCGGGAGAGGGAUGCGGAAUUCCAGGUGUAGCGGUGAAAUGCGCAGAUAUCAGGAGGAACACCGGUGGCGAAGGCGGAUCUCUGGGCCUUACCUGACGCUGAGGCGCGAAAGCGUGGGGAGCAAACAGG